RNAcentral lists this ribosomal RNA (492 nucleotides) under uncultured bacterium. RNAcentral's name for it is "partial 16S ribosomal RNA". It matches the Rfam family "Bacterial small subunit ribosomal RNA", at positions 29 to 507 of the family's 1533-position model. The record is from RNAcentral.
AGUGAACGCUGGCGGUAGGCCUAACACAUGCAAGUCGAACGGCAGCACAGUAAGAGCUUGCUCUUACGGGUGGCGAGUGGCGGACGGGUGAGGAAUACAUCGGAAUCUACUUUUUCGUGGGGGAUAACGUAGGGAAACUUACGCUAAUACCGCAUACGACCUACGGGUGAAAGCAGGGGAUCUUCGGACCUUGCGUGAUUGAAUGAGCCGAUGUCGGAUUAGCUAGUUGGCGGGGUAAAGGCCCACCAAGGCGACGAUCCGUAGCUGGUCUGAGAGGAUGAUCAGCCACACUGGAACUGAGACACGGUCCAGACUCCUACGGGAGGCAGCAGUGGGGAAUAUUAGACAAUGGGCGCAAGCCUGAUCCAGCCAUACCGCGUGGGUGAAGAAGGCCUUCGGGUUGUAAAGCCCUUUUGUUGGGAAAGAAAAGCAGCAGGUUAAUCCCCCGCUGUUCUGACGGUACCCAAAGAAUAAGCACCGGCUAACUUCGUG